GCUGGAGUCAAAAGGCGGGAACACGCAGCGCGAGCGCGCGUCCAGGAGAGAAGUUGCCCGCAGGGACGGAGGAGGCACGCCCGUCAAAUUUGCAUGUCGCUAUGCGUUGUGGGAAGUCACCCUAACCGAGCAACAUAUUAAAAUGACAGGAAAAUUGAUGGAUGACUACCUGCCAUGACCUGCCCAGUUAGGAGCUUGAUCAGACCACCCUGUGUGGUCACUUUUGGUCACUGAGCUUAUCAGGCCUGCCUUGUGGCCCCAUGAGCUUGUCAGGAUUAUUGUAUAGCUCCCUUUUCAUUCACAAUUUUUAGAGUGAAAAUGCUAAAGAUGGGAUCCACUGAAGAAGAAAGACCUGGGUCUUCAGCACCCUGUGUGCUAGCCCAGAAGUAUUAUUUGAAAGCCUCUGUUACAUCUGCUGCAGACCCCCUAAACAAGUGGACUUGCAUUUGGACAUUCUCAGCAGGAAUGGUUAUAGGCUGAUAGGACCAUAAAGGAGAUGAUGCUAGAUAGUUGAUAGAUCCUAUAGUUCAACUUCAUCCUAGUUAGAAGCUGGAUUCAUCUGACAUCAGAGAAAUGAAAUUUCAGGAGACCAAAACUAGAUCUGAGUUUCUUUAUAGAAACUUCUUUCCCAGCCUUGAAACUUGGAUGCUAUGAGUCCUGGAUAUGCAAUAGAUGAUGACAACAUUUUCCUUUUAUGUCUUUUGUAACAGAACAACCGGUUGCUAUGAUGUGCGCUGACCAUCAGCAGUAUGAAGGCGUAGAUGGAAGCUGACUUUUCUCACCAAAAAUGGCUUAUAGAAUCAACUUGAAAAACAUGAGGCAGCAAACAAAGAGUAAAAUAUUUAUUUUAUCAUCCUUAAAUUCUUUGCUAGAUUGUAAACUUCAUGAAAGCAGGAUAACUUCCCUAUCCUUAACACCUGGUCUAUAAUAAAUACUCAAAAAAUAA
This is a long non-coding RNA of Myotis myotis, 946 nucleotides long. RefSeq lists it as uncharacterized. Lineage: Eukaryota; Metazoa; Chordata; Mammalia; Chiroptera; Vespertilionidae. The transcript has 7 exons. The record is from RefSeq and is a predicted model, not a curated record.